Long non-coding RNA from Carassius gibelio (silver crucian carp), 744 nucleotides. RefSeq lists it as uncharacterized. The transcript is spliced from 4 exons. NCBI's taxonomy places the organism in Eukaryota, Metazoa, Chordata, Actinopteri, Cypriniformes, Cyprinidae. The record is from RefSeq and is a predicted model, not a curated record.
UGCAGAAUGCUGCCAGGCACGUUGUGUCCCUUUUACGCAAUGCCCUAACUAGUGAGUCAAGCUCACCAUCACAGAUGGAAUUCAAGAUAGACCAAACAUAGAUUUGGAAAUUACAGAACAACACGAAGACAAUCAAAACAGCCUUACAGAAUUAGUCAGCAAACUUAAAGAGGCAAUAGACCCUACAACCAUUUUCAGUGUCUGUGUCACAAGGGAGGACAUGUUCAACCGAGGCUUGGCACAAUGGAAGCGGCAGAAGAAGUCGUCUCCAAAGAAUCCCCUCAGAGUUACUUUCAUUGGAGAGCCUGGGAUAGACAGUGGUGCUCUUAUGAAAGAAUUCCUGACCGAAAUGAUGGCCGGGAUUGAGGCAAAAUUCUUCGAGGGAGGGAAUUUUGGGAAAAAUCUGAAGUAUUCGAUUACAGAAUUUCAGAAUGACAAUUUCAGGUAUGUCUAUACUGGAGUUUUUCAUUUAAUGCCAUUUUGCCCAUUUAUGAACGGCUCAUGAUGUACUUUGGGACAGUUGGUGAAAUAAUGGCUGUGAGCAUUACACAGGAUGGCCCUCCACCUAACUUUUUCAUGGAGUGGAUGUACAAUUUCAUCUCUUCCGGGGAGAUCAAUAAAGAUCAGCUGUCAAAGGCUGAUGUAACAGAUGCAGACCUGCUAGAUCUUAUUGCUAAGGUUUUCUAAUUAAACUCUGUCACCAAAAUAUACACGUAUUUAUUUAUAAUUUAGGUUGUAGUCAAA